UCCCUGGUGGCUCAGUUGGUAAGGAAUCUGCCUGCAAUGCAGAAGAUCUAGGUUUGAUCCCUGGGUGGAGAA
RNAcentral lists this transfer RNA (72 nucleotides) under Ovis aries (sheep). It matches the Rfam family "tRNA". Rfam says of the family: Transfer RNA (tRNA) molecules are approximately 80 nucleotides in length. Their secondary structure includes four short double-helical elements and three loops (D, anti-codon, and T loops). Further hydrogen bonds mediate the characteristic L-shaped molecular structure. tRNAs have two regions of fundamental functional importance: the anti-codon, which is responsible for specific mRNA codon recognition, and the 3' end, to which the tRNAs corresponding amino acid is attached (by aminoacyl-tRNA synthetases). tRNAs cope with the degeneracy of the genetic code in two manners: having more than one tRNA (with a specific anti-codon) for a particular amino acid; and 'wobble' base-pairing, i.e. permitting non-standard base-pairing at the 3rd anti-codon position. The record is from Rfam by way of RNAcentral. Lineage: Eukaryota; Metazoa; Chordata; Mammalia; Artiodactyla; Bovidae.